GACGAACCGUUCGAACGUUAUUCGGAAUCACUGGGCUUAAAGGGUGCGUAGGCGGCGCGACAAGUUGGGUGUGAAAUCCCUCGGCUCAACCGAGGAACUGCGCCCAAAACUGUCGUGCUCGAGGGAGACAGAGGUGAGCGGAACUUAGGGUGGAGCGGUGAAAUGCGUUGAUAUCCUAAGGAACACCGGUGGCGAAAGCGGCUCACUGGGUCUCUUCUGACGCUGAGGCACGAAAGCUAGGGUAGCGAACGGG
RNAcentral lists this ribosomal RNA (253 nucleotides) under uncultured bacterium. RNAcentral's name for it is "partial 16S ribosomal RNA". It matches the Rfam family "Bacterial small subunit ribosomal RNA", at positions 524 to 776 of the family's 1533-position model. The record is from RNAcentral.